AAUUAAGUAGGUAGUCUGUGUCUUUGCCCCACUGCGUGGUGCCUCCUCCACAGUAUGGCCCUGUUGGGGAAGCUAUUGCCGAGGCUUCCGCUCUAUUGUUUGGUGGUGGGGGCUCCUCUCCUGCCUCCUCCUUCUCUGUGGCGGCGGUGGCAGAGUGGCGGCAAAUCCAUAGCGACUGCCGAUCUCAUCCCUACAAUCCCCUUGCAUGCUGAUUGGCUCCCACCAUCUGUUGUGGGAAGGAGAGACUCCGGAAGGAGAGUCAUGAGCCGUUGAGAGGUUUAAAGAGAGGCAAGGAGGGUGGACAGUCAAGCCCAGCUAAUGUAUAUCAGUUUUGUCUCUGGAUUUGCAAAGAGUCAAGAGUUCCAGGACAAAGGCUCUGUUAAGUAAAUUAGAAGAGGCAUCACAGACUAUUUGUCCCAAGGAAUCCUGGGAACAGCAGCACUUUUUAAAAAUAAAGUUCUAACUUGCAUGGAAAAAACCGACACGAAGAGUGCUAUCAAGGGCAGCUGUGCACAGACUGAACGUCCACCUCCCACUAGUCGUAGGCUAAGGAGCUGGUGCAGAUGCAACCUUAGUUGGGUAUAUUGGGCAGGACCUUAUAACAGUAAACAGGCGGGUGGUAAUGGCGGAAAGUGCUACCGUCACUGAGGAUGAGCGGAAUCGUUGCUUACUGCCAUGUUUUUAGCAUGAGUGCACAGUAGUAGAUUUGGCAGAACAUAGCAAGUAUUGGGGGGGGAUAGGAAAAUAGGGCCUGUGGGUUGGAGCAUGAAUAUUUACCUAGGAUGGUAUGAUGUAUAAGCCCACCACUGCUGAAGCAACCUGAAACCCACUUCCCAUAGAACUGGAAGGGAAACUGGUGGUCAGUUUGUCCAAAUGCCUGCUCAACACAGGAUCUGCAGUGCAGCGUAGCUGACAGAUGGCCAUGCAGACUCUGCUUAAAUACCUCCAGCCAAGGACAGCCCCUCCGGUGGCAGCCUGUUCUACUGUUGAACACCUCUCACCAGUAAGAAGCAUCUCUGAACAUUUAGCCAAAAUCUGCUUCCCUGCAAUUUCCAUCCACUGGUCCUAGACCUGCUUUCUCCCUGUAGAAUUUGCUGUCUCUCAUCCUCCUGUGGCUUUCGCCCUGAAGCUGCUCUUUCGCAUGCAUGGCACGCACAUAUAUGCCUCUGUGCACAUACCCAAGCAGCCUCCUCCUUAGGGAGGAGUCAUCACUGAUGUGCCUGAUAUUGCAUUGUCACCUGGAGAAACUGGAAUGAAGGUUAAGAAGAUGCGGGCUCCGUUUUUUUUAAGGAUUCUCUGCAACCCCGCUGAGUGCAAUGCAACUUGACUAUAAGGUCAAUUCUCUUUCGUUUUCCAAGUAGUUGUUCCUGGCUGAAUUUGAAUCAGGGCUGGAGCUGGGGGCAAGGGUUGGAAUAAGGUUGAUAUUAAGGCUGAAGGUCCAAGGAUUUCCUGUGGCAAUUUUUCCCCCUUUGGUCUCAACAGCUGUUUAAAUAUAUAGCUGCCCCCACCCUAGCAGAUUCAACCAGUGUGAUGUUUAAGCUUGCCAAUCGAGUCAGAGCAAGCUCCGCGUUCAGGACAGAUGGCGAAUGUAACGACUGUGCUCUUAUUCCAUCCAGCGUGAGUCUUGGAGAUCGUGAUUCCAGAAAAAGGAUGCAAACAAAGACCAUCACACAGCCUGUUCCAGCUAGAAGCUUUCUUGCCCAGGGCCAUGCACCAUCAAAUGCCCUGCAGGAAGAAUCCUGAUGACUUUUUAUAUGUUGACACUGUUGAGUGUGCUGUUUUAAUUGUUUAUUGUGUGUUUUAAUUGUAAGCUGCUAUGGAGGAUUUGUAUCCUUAAAAGCAGCUUGUAGAUAAUUGUGACUGACAGAGAGAGACAGGAUAAUCUAUCUGAGCACAUCUGCAAGCCCAGGAAUUCUAUGACCCUACACCAGGUGUGGGGAACUAUUGGCCCUCCAGAUGUUUGCUGAAUUACAACUCCCAUCAGCCCCAGCCAGCAUGGCCAAUGGGCAGGGAGGAUGGGUCUUGUAGUUCAGCAACAUCUGGAGGGAGGGCCUAAGGUUCCCCACACCUACUCUACACUUCUCAGCAGGGCACGCAAAGCAUCUCACUCAGUUUCUCAGUUCUAACAGACCUUCUGGAAUCAGCUACCAACUGCAAUUAGACAAGUGCUUAGCAUCUUGAGAUUUAGGUGGCUUCUACUGACAUUUUUGUUUAAGAAGGCUUUUCCUGAAAUGUGACCCAGUCAUUUAAUGGAAUAUUAAUUGUUCAACUGGGCUCCUACUGGGAGGAAGGGCUGGAUAUAAAUCUUAUAAAUACAUAAUAUGAUAUAAUAUAAUAAUAACUGUAGAAAUUGUUUUAGUGCUUUUAGUUUAACUGAGU
Rhineura floridana is the source of this 2379-nucleotide long non-coding RNA. RefSeq lists it as uncharacterized. The record is from RefSeq and is a predicted model, not a curated record. The transcript has 3 exons. Lineage: Eukaryota; Metazoa; Chordata; Lepidosauria; Squamata; Rhineuridae.